AAAAAGGAAAUAAAAUCAUAUUAUCUUAUUCACUAAUAAAAAUAGCACUAAAUCCUACCAACUAUUUUCAAAACAAAAUUAGACCGAAGCUCUUGCCAAGGUAAAAAAACUAUUGUUCUAACGCUAUGUAGUUGCAUUCUUCAAGUUCUUCGUGUGAACAAAGUUGUCCUAAGAUCCUCGAGUGCAAGAAUCAUAGAUUUUGACAACAUCUGCAAAGUGUCGCCUGAAAUAAAAAUUUAUACAACCUUAGAUUUAUGUAAAAUUGCUUCUAAUAUAUAAUGAAGUAAAACUGCACUAUGUGUCGAAUAUCAUGGUCGAGCAAUCAUUUCAUCAAAUAGAUCUUCAAGAGUUUGAUAAUAAAAAUACACCUCAUGCAGGCUUGAAAUGCAUCAAAUAUGCAUAUUACGGAGAGCAUAUCGAGAGAAGUUGAUUCACAAAGGAUAAUGCAAAAACCUGUAAAGUGCAACAACAACUUAUCAAUUAAACACUCAAAAAACCACGCUCCUACCAGAAAAGAACACAAAUAGAUCCACAUGUAUACAAAUUCCAAAAAAGAAAAAACACAAAGUUCUAGAUUAUCAAUGCAAGCACCAAAGACUACUAAUACCUUCUCAACAAAGAACAAAAGGGUCGCUGAUAUUUCAUAACACAAGCAUAAUAUCAUGGCAUGCAUUUUCAUCGACUCUUAUGAACAACAUUGUUUCCCAAGGCAUCAAUAAUCAUGCUAAAUUGGAAAACCAAAAAAGAAAACCAACUGAGAAUAAAUACUACCAAAUACCAAUAGAAUGUUCUGAUCAGCUAAAGAUUCAUGCACUUUAUAUAAACUGGAUACUUAAUUUUAUCAUAAAAAUAAUAUAUAGAGAAAAUAAAAAUAAUAUCUUGAUGGUUACCUUUCUUUGCAUUUUAAAUAUCACCAGUUCAAUGCAAUAAGUUCAUCAUUGCAAUGCCACUUUUAUAGCCUUGGCGAAGAGAUUUCUAUUACUCUAGUGAAACAAGAAUGAUGGAAUAUUCCAACCUGAAAACACAUGGAGAUAAUAAAUUCUUCUGUUUGAUAACUUAUUGCUUAUAGUUUCCAUGAGUAAAUAGGUGGAACUAAAUAGCACCAUGAAAGAGAGUGGAUAUCCCAUCGAACCAGUCCCCUGCAUAUGUAAGAAGAAAACAAGACAACAUUUAGGUUUCCUUGCUGGAAAGCAGAGAUAACAAACCUGUAAAUUGAAUAAGCAUCUUAAAUGAGUGGCUCAGUGCCUUCCCAGGAUCCCUUGCUUUCACCAAAAAAGAAGAGCUAAAUUGCAUUGCACUACACACCUCUCGCUAUAAACCUGAAAUUAGUACCGAGGACAGUGUAAUUGACGUAGUCAAUGAUUCAACAUGAAAUUCUCUAUUCCCUCACCAAGACUAAAAGGUAAAAUAAAUAAUACAAGAGACACAAAAAAGAAUGACAUCAAUAUAUAGAAAAUCAAGUAGUUUAAACAAUUUUUUAAACACAUUGGCAAUUAUUAGUAAAUUUAAAUGUUCUUGGCAAGAGAUCAUGCUAUCCUAACAAAGACAUUUGAAAGCCAACUUCUAUGGUUUAGAAACUUGAAAAAACCAGCUUUAUCCAAGACAUAGAGAAUAUCAUUAUUGCUCAAGUAACAGAAACCAUGUGCAACAAAGUCCUUCAUCUCCAGCUUCUAUUAAUGGUUCAGGCUGAAAUAAAAUAAAAAUAAAAAUAAUAGCAGGAGGAAGAAAUUGGAUCAUAAAUUCAGUAAAUAUAAUAUUUCAUUCCACACUUCUAUAACUUACCUCAUGAAUCAAGACAUGCUUUACUGCAAUGCGAGAUUAAUAUAACACGAAUUGUAACCCUACUAGAAGACAAACCAAAUAAAUAUAUGAGAUAGUUCUAGAGCAAUAAUACUAAGUAUUCAUCAUUACAUUGAAAACUCAAUUUGUAUAAACAUCUAACUAGCUUCAAAGUAUACAAAAUUGCUAAAGACUGCAAAGUAUUACGAUAGUGGAAUUUGCAUAGAUGCAUACCUUAAUUCUCUACAAACGACAUCAACUUUCUAAACAAAACAAACUUCCUGAGGAUUCCAAUACCAUACUUCAACUUUCUAAAUAAUAUCAACAUCAAAUUUCUAUAUAUUAAAAAGGACGAUACUAGAGCAUACAUAAUACAUUUGCAGUUCAAUUCUGCCAAAAUCUUAGUCCUCUUAGAAUAAAAGAGAUAUCAAACACCAAACACCAACACUAAAAAUUUUCUUAGAGAAAAGGUAAUUAAAGGGAGAAUUUCAAUUCAUCAAAUACCAGUUAGAAUUCGAUAUAUAUCGCGAACCGAAAAUAAGUAAAAAUUCUCCCUGCUCAAGCUGUCGACCAACUGUAGUUGCUGCCCCCCUUUCGCUGCCAAAAUUGGUAACGCUAUUACCUCCUUUGGCUUUCACCCACAUCAGCCGCUUGUCAUUUGGUCGGAUUGGCACCGUGCACACCUGAAGUGCCGACCGCCAAAUGAUCUGCCGCUUGAACUAUAUAUCCACUUCGCAAUCUGCCAUCUUGCCUUCUUCAAAGCACAAACCCUUCCCCCUUUCACCAAUUACAUAUGUAAUAGGAUGAAAAUAAAGAUUUUGGCUGUGGCGUAAAUUGAAUUGAUAAAAAUUGGGAAAGUUCUAGUUGUGUUGGUGAAAAAAAGAGACUUAAACACGUUGAUUAGAAAAAGUACAAAGGCGGUUAAUUCUUUUCUAUUUUUCCAAGUAAAAAAAAUGUAAAAAAAUUAGUGGGAGAGUUGGACUUGGCGCCACUUUAAAGUAAA
This 2782-nucleotide long non-coding RNA is filed under the name Salvia miltiorrhiza (redroot sage). RNAcentral's name for it is "long non-coding RNA (SMIL_LNC010372)". The record is from RNAcentral. Lineage: Eukaryota; Viridiplantae; Streptophyta; Magnoliopsida; Lamiales; Lamiaceae.